RNAcentral lists this long non-coding RNA (630 nucleotides) under Polistes fuscatus (common paper wasp). RNAcentral's name for it is "uncharacterized LOC122516457". Lineage: Eukaryota; Metazoa; Arthropoda; Insecta; Hymenoptera; Vespidae. The record is from RNAcentral.
GUAUCGCCUGGCGACGUAAUUUUAUCAGUAUUGCAGUAAUGUAGAUAGUCAGGAACUGAAAUGGAAGGGAAAGCUUUCUAUUGUAACUGUACACCAGUUUGCUUUCAUUUUUCAUAACUUACUAGAUUUCAGUACUACACAUGCGUCUUAAUUCUUUCCUUUGUAGUGAUACGCACCUAGCGUAUCGACGCGGUAUACUAGUGCCUUUUUUCCCUAUACGGGAAUCAUUUGAGACAAGAUUUUUAUAUAUAACGUUCGAGAGUCUUAUAUCAGUCUUAUAUAUGGCGUCCAAGAGUACAUUCGUUAUUAAUAAUAAUAAAUGUUAUAUUUUCUUAUUGGUAAAUUCAGAUAGUGUAUAUAAAUUUUCCGAAUAACCUUUCUCCAUCGUCCUGGUUCCCCACACGUUCAAUAUCUAAUUAAACAACACAUUGAACAGGAAGUAAUACGCCAUAAUAUUACUAUGUUAUCUUAAAUUUCCAUCAACACUACCUUGCUCCUACACUUUUUUAACCAUCAAUCAUACAAUGUUAACGCAGAGUGUACACGUGAAGUUUAAUCAACAGUAAUCAACAGAAGAUUGAUUUUUUCUAUGUCAUGUUAUUUUUUUUAAAUAAAAACGAUAAAACUAAA